UCCAGUUUCCUCCUAUACUCCAAAGAUGUGCAGGUUUGCAGGUUAAUUGGCUUUGGUAAAAAUGAAAACUGUCUUAAUGUGUGGGAUAGUGUAAGUGAGAGGGGAUCGCUGGUCGGCAGGGUGGGCCGAAGGCCCCCUUUCUGUGAUAUAUCUCUAAAUGUCUAAACUAAACUAAAAUUGUGUUGUAACCUUUGGAAACCCUCAUUAUGUUCAUCAGUCCAAUCUUUGCUGUGGCUUUUGCAAGAGGUUUUUGCAACAGCAUUGUGACAUUGAUAAAUCAAGCUGAAAGAUUUCCAUCUCAAGAAACAGCUAUUGGUUUUUCCUUAAAAUGCUCGUUUUCCCCAAUGUGGUAGAAUCCAAGCAAUUCUGGGCCAAAACGUCUACUUUGUACUUUGGACUCUUUAAAUUUGUUGUUAUACCUGCAUUGUUUAUUUGCAGAAUAAUGUUUCUAACCUCUGCUACUUGUACCUCCACUCAGGUUCAAGGUAAUCCAUUACUGACAUUUGGCAUCCUAGAACAUUAAGCACUGGACAUUUCUGAUCUCAAAGGUUGUUCUUGCGAACAUGUGUCAGACUAAAUGACUACAAGGAUUCCCGAUUCUGAACACUUCACUUAGAUUUGCUUUCAUUCAACAAUUAUACACUUCAAGCAUGGGCACAUGAAGUCUGCAAAUGCUGUAAAUAAAACCCAGCAACUCAAAGAUGGAGGAGACGUGCUUACUUAGAGCAUAAACAACCUGUAUGGGGUGGAGAGACAAUAUCCUCACUGCAGGAGGUUACAGAUAACAUAACAGGAGACGACAUGGCUACACUGUAUUUUACGAGAUGCUGCUUCACCCGCUGAGUUAUUCCAGCAUUUUGUGCCUGACUUGGCUUUGGAGUUGAGCACCAUCGGCAAGCUACACUGCAGUAAAUUGGCAAUACCUCCUGCUUUGGCUGCACGAAAGACAAGAAGAGCAUUGUAACCAACAAGUCUCACACUGUCCUGGCAGGGGAUGACUUACCUGUUUAUUCAUCAUCAGGGGAGGAAAAUCAUGGAUAACUACAUACCUCAGCAACAUUGAACUUGUAUGGACCAUCUUUGGUUACAUCAAGGGUUUGGGGUUUUUUUUGCACUUGUAUUAUAGUUAUGAAUUUCUUGAUUUUUUAAAAAUAGGCCUGUUAAGCUUCUACGAGUAAGAAUUUAUUGUUCCGUUGUCAGCACAUUGACAAUCAAACACUCGACUGAUCUCUCAACCUGUCGUGCCCCCUCAACGAUAUAUGCAAAUGCACUCCGAUCUCUCUCCCUCUCUGUUUAUCACAUCGUACCAAGCUGCACCAAUUGGCCUAGUUGUUUCUCCUUAUCCUAUCUAGUUGAUGUACACUGUAACACAGUGGCACAGAGAUACAGUUGGUGUCUUACAGCACCAGAAAACCUGACUGCAGGUGCUGUCUGUGUAGAAUUGUGUUCUCCCUGUGGCCGCAUGGGUUCUCUCCAGAUGUCCCAGUUUCCUCCCACACUCCAAAGACGUGCAGGUUUGUAGGUUAAUUGGCUUCAGUAAAGUUUGUGAAUUGACCCUAGGGUGUAGGAUAAUGCUAGUGUAUAGGUUGAAUACUGGUCAGCGCGGCAGUCAGCUGAAGGGUCUGUUUGAGUGCAGCAAUCCCAGACAGCAGUUCAAUACCACCUUCUCAAGGACAUGGGGGACAGAUAAUAAAUGCCAUCCUUUCCAAUUACAUGAAUAUACAAGAUCUAAUCUAAAAUAAAGCUUUAUCUUAAAUUGAAAUAGAAUAUCCCAUUAAAUCAUAAUGAUGAAUUUCAGUAUAGUCAGCAGGAGACCCAUCACUUUUUUUAAGCAAAAGGGAGAAAAGUAAAUAAGAUAUACUGGAGAUCAAAUCAAUUUAUAGAACACGAUCAUCUAUCCUGCUUAGACAAUCUCUGGUGAUUGUCUUAUUCUUAAAUCCAUAGUAAGUUUUCUUUUCGAAGCACAAUUUCAAUCCAAAACAUAUUCAAGAUGUAAUGUUUUAUUCCUUUUAAUUAAAGCUUUGUUAGCUAAAUGUUCAGUUUGAAGUGUUAUUUCAUAUUUAUAAUAUUUGAAGAUUUCUUUGCACACAAGAUAAUUCCGAAUCAACCAGCAAUUUGCUGGAAAUACUCAAUGACCUGAGCAGCAUCUGUGGGGAUAAAGAAUUUGGCAACAUUGAGUCAGAACCCUGCAUCAGGACUGAGUGUCUGAUAAAAACCAAUCAUGGCUGGGGAAAUCCAACAUGUGGUACUGGUUAUUUCAACACGACAUGAUUGCAAGUCCCACUUUUCCAAGAAUGAAAUGUAUUACCACUAUUUACAAAAGAUUCUGUAUCCCUCGAGAAAUUUGACCAGGUGCAUCAUUUGACAUUAUUUUCCCACACAGAUUUAAUUUUGUAUCAGUGCCAAAUUAGGCAGCAUUAAUCUGAGAAACCAUCAUCGGUGAUCUUUCUUAGAACAACCUUGAGACGUGGAAGGAAAGAGGAGGACCCAGAGGAAACCCACAUGGUCACAGGAAAAACGUGCAAACUAUGCAUAGUCAGGAUCAAAUUAGGGCAUUAGUCACUGUGAGGCAGUAGAUUUAACAGCUGCAUCACUGUGAUGCCCUCAUUUUAAAUAUACGUCUUAAGGUGGCACAGCGACACAGCAGUAGAGUUGCUGCCUUACAGCGCCAGAGACCUGGAUUAGAUCCCGACUAUGGGUGCUGUCUGUACGAAAUGUAUUCAUUUUUCCUGUGACCGCGUGGAUUUCUUCUGGGUGCUCCGGUUUCCUCCCACACUCCAAGACGUACAGAUUGGAAGGUUAAUUGGCUUCGGGAAAAUUGUCCCUCGUGUGUAAGAUAGUGCUAGUGUAUGGGGUGAUCGCUGAAAACACAACACAAAUACGGGAGCACAGAGGGCAGCACAGUGGUGCAGCGGUAGAGUUGCUGCCUUACAGCACCAGUGACCUGGGUUUAAUCCUGACUACGGGUGCUGUCAAUACAGGAUUUAUACAUUCUACCUGUGACCACUUAGAUUUUUAUUGGGUGCUCCGGUUUCCUCCCACACUCCAAAGACGUGCACGUUAAUUUGGCUUCGGUAAAAAUUGUAAAUUGUCCUCAGUGUGUAGGAUAAUGCUAGUGUACAGAGUUAGCUGGUUGGCAUGGGCUCGGUGGGCAGAAGGGCCUGGUUCUACGCUGUAUCUGUAAACUAAAAACUAACCUUGCUUUCUUGUAGUUUUAUUCAUUAUUGUCAUGUAACCAGAAGUACAGUGAACAGCCUUUGUUUGCGUGUGAUCCAGCCAAGACUAUACAUGAAUACAAUCACCUGAUCGUAGUGCACAGAUAAAGAAUAGAGUACAUGACAUAGAGAUAUUACAUUGAAAGGUCAUUUGCCUAGAUACAAUUUCCUAAUAAGCAGUGCGAGUGGUAACUUUUACAAGAUGAUAAGCAUAAUGCAACACAAUAGUUUUAUUUUGUUGUUUCCUUCACAGUUGCCUAAUCUGUUGAGUAGCAAUGGCAUUUUCUAUUUGUGACACACAAUAGAAAUGAAAUGAAAAUGAAAUGAAAAACCUACAGCUGGAUACUGCAUCUCAUCAAUGGAUUGAUGAUAUUGCAGGUUCUUCAGGUUUAUUAUCUUUUGUCAGGGAGCAGCCUAACUACAAUUAACUCUGUCACGCAAUAACAUGAAAGGACAAGAGCACGAGAGGCCACACUGUCCCUCAAGCCUGUUCAGCCAGUCCAUAUGAUCAUCUAUUCUGGCAUCCACUCCAAAGAAAGAUCAGAAUGGAGCAUUGUUUUGAGAUAAUAUGCAAAUACUUCUAGACAGUCGUGACACAAUACUAUUCUGUUAUCAUAAGACAAUGUCCUUGGGAUAUUGGCAGUACACGUUCUAGUCUGAUUAGAUGUAGAUUUCCUGGUUGAAAGAUUAAAUUGCACAAAGUACAUACCCCAGAAUGGGGUGGCACAGCGGUAGAUUUGCUGCCUCAUGGCGCCAGAGACCUGGGUUCGAUCGUGACUAUGGGUGCUGUCUGUAUGGAGUGGCACAUACUGCCUGUGACCGCGUGGGUUUUCUCCAGGUUCUCUGGUUUCCUCCCACAAUCCAAAGACGUUUAAAGAUUCAUUUGUUUCUGUAAAUUGUCCCCAAUGUGUAGGAUAGAGCUAGUGUACAGGUGGUCGCUGGUUGGUGUGGAAUCGGUAGGCUAAAGGGCCUGUUUCUCCACUGUAUUUCUAAACGAAAUAUUGAAGUUGUAGGUAACCCAAACUUCCCUGCUGUUUUAUGCUUAAUGAACUAAAAUUAUCAUUUAUUUUCCUAAUGAGUCCCAACCUUGUUAUAGACACAAAACAAAGAACAGCUUCAAAAAUAAUCAAGAGUCUAAAGACUGAUAUUAUGGCUCAUGACCCAAGGAAUUCAAACAAGAAAAGCAAAAUUCAAUUUUCAAUAUAGUACAGUAUCACUUUUGCUGCAAAUAAUGAAAACUAGAAAGCGAAAGAAACUAUUGGAUGACUGGAUGGGUCUGUAAAAAUGAAACACUGGAAGGAAAUUGUUAGACCUUGUCAGGCAAAGUU
Molecule: long non-coding RNA, 4543 nt
Organism: Leucoraja erinaceus (little skate)
Lineage: Eukaryota; Metazoa; Chordata; Chondrichthyes; Rajiformes; Rajidae
Exons: 3
Source: RefSeq, a predicted model, not a curated record